GAUGAAGAACGUAGCGAAAUGCGAUAAGUAAUGUGAAUUGCAGAAUUCAGUGAAUCAUCGAAUCUUUGAACGCACAUUGCGCCCGCCAGUAUUCUGGCGGGCAUGCCUGUUCGUGCGUCAUUUCAACCAUCAAGCCCUGCUUGCGUUGGGGUCCUGCGGCUGCCCGCAGGCCCUGAAAACCAGUGGCGGGCUCGCUAGUCACACCGAGCGCAGUAAUACAUCUCGCUUUGGGCGUGCGGCGGGUUCUUGCCGUUAAACACCCCCUUUUUACCAAGGUUGACCUCGGAUCAGGUAGGAAUACCCGCUGAACUUAAGCAUAUCAAUAAGCGGAGGA
RNAcentral lists this unclassified non-coding RNA (334 nucleotides) under soil metagenome. RNAcentral's name for it is "partial contains 5.8S ribosomal RNA, internal transcribed spacer 2, and large subunit ribosomal RNA". The stretch from base 1 to 120 matches the Rfam family "5.8S ribosomal RNA", at positions 35 to 154 of the family's 154-position model. The record is from RNAcentral.